Molecule: small RNA, 27 nt
Filed under: Bombyx mori (domestic silkworm)
Lineage: Eukaryota; Metazoa; Arthropoda; Insecta; Lepidoptera; Bombycidae
Description: ovarian small RNA-37543
Source: RNAcentral
UUCUGGUGUAAUAGGUGGUCCUAGUAU